GAGGGUAUUGCUCAAUGGUAGAGUGUGUGCUUAGCAAGCACGAGGUUCUGGGUUCAGUCCCCAGUACCUCCA
Molecule: transfer RNA, 72 nt
Organism: Camelus ferus (Wild Bactrian camel)
Lineage: Eukaryota; Metazoa; Chordata; Mammalia; Artiodactyla; Camelidae
Rfam family: tRNA
About the family: Transfer RNA (tRNA) molecules are approximately 80 nucleotides in length. Their secondary structure includes four short double-helical elements and three loops (D, anti-codon, and T loops).
Source: Rfam